Long non-coding RNA from Bubalus bubalis (water buffalo), 347 nucleotides. RefSeq lists it as uncharacterized. The transcript has 2 exons. The record is from RefSeq and is a predicted model, not a curated record. NCBI's taxonomy places the organism in Eukaryota, Metazoa, Chordata, Mammalia, Artiodactyla, Bovidae.
CCUGGGUUGGGAAGAGUCCCUGGAGAAGGGAAUAGCUACCCACUCCAGUAGUUGCUCCUGCUUCAUCUAAGACCCCAUUUUCUUCACUCCAACCCUCAUGAGUUUUCAUCUAAACCAGGUCCUAAGAAGACAUGGGUUCCACUAUGCUUCCAAUUGUUUUCAUGAGGAAGAGACCUGGUCCUCUUUCAGCCACAGUGAAAGGUCUUGGGGGCUGGAAGCCAAAUCUGCAAAAGACUGAACUAUCAAUAUGUUAAUCAAAUUAUAAUCAAGAGUGAAAUACAGCAUCUAAAAGAUCUCAUAAAUGAUAAAAAUGAUUUUAAUUAGGAAAUAAAUGCAAUAUUAUAUUA